GACGAACGCUGGCGGCGUGCUUAACACAUGCAAGUCGAACGGAAAGGCCUCUUUCGGGGGGUACUCGAGUGGCGAACGGGUGAGUAACACGUGAGUAACCUGCCCUUGACUUUGUGAUAACUUCAGUAAACUGGGGCUAAUACCGGAUAGGAGCUCCUGCUGCAUGGUGGGGGUUGGAAAGUUUCGGCGGUUGGGGAUGGACUCGCGGCUUAUCAGCUUGUUGGUGGGGUAGUGGCUUACCAAGGCUUUGACGGGUAGCCGGACUGGGAGGGUGACCGGCCAAAUUGGGACUGAGAUACGGCACAGAAUCCUACGGGAGGAAGCAGUGGGGAAUAUUGAACAAUGGGUGGAAGCCUGAUGCAGAAAAGCCGUGGGCGGGAUGACGGCCUUAGGGUUGUAAACCGCUUUCGCUCAUGACGAAGCUUUGUGUGACGGUAGUGGGUAAAGAAGCACCGGCUAACUACGUG
RNAcentral lists this ribosomal RNA (467 nucleotides) under uncultured bacterium. RNAcentral's name for it is "partial 16S ribosomal RNA". It matches the Rfam family "Bacterial small subunit ribosomal RNA", at positions 28 to 507 of the family's 1533-position model. The record is from RNAcentral.